This 366-nucleotide long non-coding RNA is filed under the name Glycine max (soybean). RNAcentral describes it as "long non-coding RNA (GMAX_LNC000824)". The record is from RNAcentral. Lineage: Eukaryota; Viridiplantae; Streptophyta; Magnoliopsida; Fabales; Fabaceae.
GGCAUUAGCCUUUCCGUAGGAGCUAGGCUCUGUGGCAGUAGGAUUCAUUCCUUCUAUAGUUAUCUUUUUUUUUUUUUUGACAAAUAAUACAAAUCAUUCCCUACUCUAUUUUAUAAUUCUCUUCCUUACUUUUCUGUUCCCUAACAAAUUGGUCCAACCUGCAGGAUCUUCGGAGAGGAGAGGAGGAAGGAAGGAAUAUUCUGAGGUGACGUGACCAGUGAAUGCCACUGAAGAAGAUGGAAGCAAAAGCUGCUACACUGGAGACGGAAGUCGCUGGCCUCAGGACGGCGAAGCACGCAAUGCAACUCACAGCAGAGGAGAAUCAUGAGAAGCUAGUAGUGUUGUUGUCCAAAAACAACAGUGAUU